CGAUGGGGCCUCUGCAAUGAAUUCUCUGCGAACUCCGCCAGGUCCGGAAGGAAGCAACGGUAGUGGAAUAAUUUGUGUGCCGGAGUAACCCUGUCGAGU
This 99-nucleotide signal recognition particle RNA is filed under the name Denitrovibrio sp. RNAcentral describes it as "signal recognition particle sRNA small type". It matches the Rfam family "Bacterial small signal recognition particle RNA". From Rfam's summary of the family: The signal recognition particle (SRP) is a universally conserved ribonucleoprotein involved in the co-translational targeting of proteins to membranes. Lineage: Bacteria; Pseudomonadati; Deferribacterota; Deferribacteres; Deferribacterales; Geovibrionaceae. The record is from RNAcentral.